AGAGUUUGAUCCUGGCUCAGGACGAACGCUGGCGGCGUGCUUAACACAUGCAAGUCGAACGAUGAAGCCCAGCUUGCUGGGUGGAUUAGUGGCGAACGGGUGAGUAACACGUGAGUAACCUGCCCUUGACUCUGGGAUAAGCGUUGGAAACGACGUCUAAUACCGGAUACGAGCUUCCACCGCAUGGUGAGUUGCUGGAAAGAAUUUUGGUCAAGGAUGGACUCGCGGCCUAUCAGCUUGUUGGUGAGGUAAUGGCUCACCAAGGCGACGACGGGUAGCCGGCCUGAGAGGGUGACCGGCCACACUGGGACUGAGACACGGCCCAGACUCCUACGGGAGGCAGCAGUGGGGAAUAUUGCACAAUGGGCGAAAGCCUGAUGCAGCAACGCCGCGUGAGGGACGACGGCCUUCGGGUUGUAAACCUCUUUUAGCAGGGAAGAAGCGAAAGUGACGGUACCUGCAGAAAAAGCACCGGCUAACUACGUGCCAGCAGCCGCGGUAAUAC
This 505-nucleotide ribosomal RNA is filed under the name Plantibacter flavus. RNAcentral describes it as "bacterial SSU rRNA". It matches the Rfam family "Bacterial small subunit ribosomal RNA", at positions 8 to 526 of the family's 1533-position model. Lineage: Bacteria; Bacillati; Actinomycetota; Actinomycetes; Micrococcales; Microbacteriaceae. The record is from RNAcentral.